Non-coding RNA from Rattus norvegicus (Norway rat), 1833 nucleotides. Lineage: Eukaryota; Metazoa; Chordata; Mammalia; Rodentia; Muridae. The record is from RefSeq and is a predicted model, not a curated record.
CUCCCCCGCUGGAGUGCCGGGAUGUCUUCUGGGGGAAGAGACGGAGAGGAGUUGCCAAUCCUGUCUUUCAGGAGCUUAGGGAGGGCUCCUGAAGGUCGCAGGGUCCUAGAAGCAGCUCCCCUGAUGUUGCAGGUCACGCGUGUCUACCAUGAUUGCUCUGCUCAGCCUAGAUGUCCUAGAGCUGCCCCAGUUGUCUUAACUAAUGCAGACUCAACCACGGAGGCUCAGAAGAGGCACGGGCCAACCUCAGCCCCAACGCAGUGCAGUGGGGUUGGGGGUGGAGCUGGACCUCCACAGUGCUUUCCUAGUGGGCUAGACUACAGCCCACUUCAUUCCAACCUCCUUCCCUUAGAAAUAGGGUCUGUGAAGGACACGCGGGGAGGCCCUGCUCCCCACAAACACCAUUCUCUCUCACCAUCCCAUCUUCCUCCCUCACCCCUGCUUUCCUUAGUACAGUGGCAGCGCAGCCAAAGACCUGCCGCCCUGGACUGGGGGCUGCUGGCAAUGAGCAUUAAACUGAACUCCUGGGACAAUUCGCUCUCAUCUCAGGAUCACAGCUGCCCCCUAAGGUCACCGACUACCUCCCAACUGCCAAAGCCUAGGAUUAACCUCGGGCCUCCUCAGGGCUCUGCUCCGACCUUAUCAAGCUCUAGAUCUUCUCUCCCUGGUCUCUCUCACAUCUGGACAGCCAUAGAGACAGCCUCACCCGGCACCCUCCAUCCGCCUGCCUGGGGACUCCCACCCAUCUGACUGUCUCCACUUGGUGCCACCUGCAAGUGCAAAGGGAACAACUGUCCUAAGUCACUACGAGGCUUGGCAACCAGGUAAUUUAUGAGCAAGCCAGGACACUGUGAAAAGGGGACUACGCCAUUACAUCAGGGCAACAAGCACAAACCAAGACGCUCUGGGGUCUACCUCUCCCUACCCCGUGACAAGUACAGCCUGGACCCUAGCUCCAUUCACCUUCCACCUCUUUGACCUCUCACACCCCUCAGCCAGGUCCACCUACAGUGACUCCAUCAUCAGCUUGUCCCUCUGUCACCCACCCCCAUCCUCACAGCUGUCUCUCGACCCAGCUCCAUGGUUGCUUGCCAGGGUAAUCUGCCUCUAACACAAAUCUGAUCAUGUUACUCGGGCUUAGGAGCUCUCCAAGCUGUGGCCCCGAGUACAGAGGUCCUGCCUGCACCCCGCCUCUGCAGAUCAGCCCAGUACCAGGAAUCUCCGAGUCUGCUCAGCCAUGAGACCCUUGGACUGAAUGAAGCUCCCAUCCCCCACCUCAAACUCAUUCCAUGCCUGGUCCCAAGCAGCCUCCCUUGCUGCCACCAACACAGGUGCCUUUUCACCUUCCUGAAGGGCUUUCUGAUCAAACUGUUUGCCCUGAAUCCUACUCAGCCUGUUAUGAAACAAGCUGUCUAACCUUGGAGAACCUUAAUUUACCUAUCUGUGAAAUGGGACCCACGCAGCAUGCUUGCGACUGAGGGAGAACCACACAAGUCAUGAAUGUGGCGACGAAACUGUCCCAGCUGCAGCUCAUUCCCUGUCACAGAAAGAGCUCCCGGAUGGUGGGGACUGAGGGAUGGUCUUUCCACCUCUCCCAGCAGCAAGCAGGCACAGAAACUGGGACGAGCCAGCCACGCUCCAAGUUGAUUCUGUCUCAUGCCCCAGGUCUCAACCUAAACGUCUCCUUCCAUAACCACCUAACACCCAACCAUGCCUCAUUGGGAGUCCUUUAUCUCAAAGCCUGUUGACGCUUCUGUCUUGAUUAACAACAAGUACUGGGCUGUACCGUGCCUGUCAUAUAUUAGAAACUUAAUAAAAUGCGAUCUAUGAGCA